AGACCCGAAACCCGGUGAUCUAGCCAUGGGCAGGUUGAAGGUUGGGUAACACUAACUGGAGGACCGAACCGACUAAUGUUGAAAAAUUAGCGGAUGACCUGUGGCUGGGGGUGAAAGGCCAAUCAAACCGGGAGAUAGCUGGUUCUCCCCGAAAGCUAUUUAGGUAGCGCCUCGUGAAUUCAUCUCCGGGGGUAGAGCACUGUUUCGGCUAGGGGGCCAUCCCGGCUUACCAACCCGAUGCAAACUGCGAAUACCGGAGAAUGUUAUCACGGGAGACACACGGCGGGUGCUAACGUCCGUCGUGAAGAGGGAAACAACCCAGACCGCCAGCUAAGGUCCCAAAGUCAUGGUUAAGUGGGAAACGAUGUGGGAAGGCCCAGACAGCCAGGAUGUUGGCUUAGAAGCAGCCAUCAUUUAAAGAAAGCGUAAUAGCUCACUGGUCGAGUCGGCCUGCGCGGAAGAUGUAACGGGGCUAAACCAUGCACCGAAGCUGCGGCAGCGACACUGUGUGUUGUUGGGUAGGGGAGCGUUCUGUAAGCCUGUGAAGGUGGCCUGUGAGGGUUGCUGGAGGUAUCAGAAGUGCGAAUGCUGACAUAAGUAACGAUAAAGCGGGUGAAAAGCCCGCUCGCCGGAAGACCAAGGGUUCCUGUCCAACGUUAAUCGGGGCAGGGUGAGUCGACCCCUAAGGCGAGGCCGAAAGGCGUAGUCGAUGGGAAACGGGUUAAUAUUCCCGUACUUGGUGUUACUGCGAAGGGGGGACGGAGAAGGCUAUGUUGGCCGGGCGACGGUUGUCCCGGUUUAAGCGUGUAGGUGUGUGUUCCAGGUAAAUCCGGUUCACUUUAACACUGAGGCGUGAUGACGAGGCACUACGGUGCUGAAGCAACAAAUGCCCUGCUUCCAGGAAAAGCCUCUAAGCAUCAGGUAACAUCAAAUCGUACCCCAAACCGACACAGGUGGUCAGGUAGAGAAUACCAAGGCGCUUGAGAGAACUCGGGUGAAGGAACUAGGCAAAAUGGUGCCGUAACUUCGGGAGAAGGCACGCUGACACGUAGGUGAAGUGAUUUACUCAUGGAGCUGAAGUCAGUCGAAGAUACCAGCUGGCUGCAACUGUUUAUUAAAAACACAGCACUGUGCAAACACGAAAGUGGACGUAUACGGUGUGACGCCUGCCCGGUGCCGGAAGGUUAAUUGAUGGGGUCAGCGCAAGCGAAGCUCCUGAUCGAAGCCCCGGUAAACGGCGGCCGUAACUAUAACGGUCCUAAGGUAGCGAAAUUCCUUGUCGGGUAAGUUCCGACCUGCACGAAUGGCGUAAUGAUGGCCAGGCUGUCUCCACCCGAGACUCAGUGAAAUUGAACUCGCUGUGAAGAUGCAGUGUACCCGCGGCAAGACGGAAAGACCCCGUGAACCUUUACUAUAGCUUGACACUGAACAUUGAGCCUUGAUGUGUAGGAUAGGUGGGAGGCUUUGAAGCGUGGACGCCAGUCUGCGUGGAGCCGACCUUGAAAUACCACCCUUUAAUGUUUGAUGUUCUAACGUGGACCCGU
Molecule: ribosomal RNA, 1544 nt
Filed under: Salmonella enterica subsp. enterica serovar Potsdam
Lineage: Bacteria; Pseudomonadati; Pseudomonadota; Gammaproteobacteria; Enterobacterales; Enterobacteriaceae
Description: partial 23S ribosomal RNA
Rfam family: Bacterial large subunit ribosomal RNA
Source: RNAcentral